UACGUAGGGAGCAAGCGUUGUCCGGAAUCAUUGGGCGUAAAACGCGCGUAGGUGGCCAUUUAAGUCCGCUGUGAAAGUCAAAGGCUCAACCUUUGAAAGCCGGUGGAUACUGGAUGGCUAGAGUACGGAAGAGGCGAGUGGAAUUCCUGGUGUAGCGGUGGAAUGCGCAGAUAUCAGGAGGAACACCAAUAGCGAAGGCAGCUCGCUGGGACGUUACUGACACUGAGGCGCGAAAGCGUGGGGAGCGAACAGG
This 253-nucleotide ribosomal RNA is filed under the name uncultured bacterium. RNAcentral describes it as "partial 16S ribosomal RNA". It matches the Rfam family "Bacterial small subunit ribosomal RNA", at positions 524 to 776 of the family's 1533-position model. The record is from RNAcentral.